UGGGGGAUAUUGCACAAUGGGCGAAAGCCUGAUGCAGCGACGCCGCGUGAGGGAAGACGGUUUUCGGAUUGUAAACCUCUGUCUUCGGGGACGAAAAAGGACGGUACCCGAGGAGGAAGCCACGGCUAACUACGUGCCAGCAGCCGCGGUAAUACGUAGGUGGCAAGCGUUGUCCGGAAUUACUGGGUGUAAAGGGAGAGUAGGCGGGGCUGCAAGUCUGUUGUUAAAUCUAUCGGCUCAACCGAUGGCUGCGGCAGAAACUGUAGUUCUUGAGUGAAGUAGAGGCAGGCGGAAUUCCUAGUGUGGCGGUGAAAUGCGUAGAUAUUAGGAGGAACACCAGUGGCGAAGGCGGCCUGCUGGGCUUUAACUGACGCUGAGGCUCGAAAGUGUGGGGAGCAAACAGGAUUAGAUACCCUGGUAGU
RNAcentral lists this ribosomal RNA (422 nucleotides) under uncultured Anaerotruncus sp. Its description in RNAcentral is "bacterial SSU rRNA". It matches the Rfam family "Bacterial small subunit ribosomal RNA", at positions 355 to 794 of the family's 1533-position model. The record is from RNAcentral. Lineage: Bacteria; Bacillati; Bacillota; Clostridia; Eubacteriales; Oscillospiraceae.